UGCCGACCACUGCACUAAGCCCCUGGCACUGGAAGGAAAAUAAAGAGAUAAAAAGGUAAUUCUAAGGUAUGAAAAGUGCUACGAAGGAAUGAAACGGGGGUGAUAGGACUGAGGUAGGGAGCACUGUUUCUGGAUGGGUCAGGCAGGUCUCUGGACUGAGGCCCCAAGAAUGAGCAGCCAAGGGAGCAUGCUGGCUGCUCAGUUUUGAGAGAUCAUUCCAGGUGGUACAGGCCCAGCAAGUGCAAAGGCCCUGAGGCUCCAGAAAGGGAGGAAAGGAAGCGGCCCACCUUCACCGCAGGGGUUGCGUAGGAGGUUCCUGCGGAGGCUGCACAAAAAGUAAAAAACCUUCCAGUCUGACACGGGCUCGUCGCAGUCCUCGGUGGUGAAGCCCUCCCGCAGGCUCUUGCGUUUCCAGAGGGUCAUGAGGUCGAUGAGGUCGCGCCAGAGGCUGCAGACAAGGCGGCAGUCCAACACCAGCUGACGGGCAGGCACGUUUGUGAAUAUCUCCAGCAGGAUGUUCUCAGGCAGUUCAUUGAUGCUGACCAGGGUCAUAGCUGGGCUGGGGUGCA
This is a long non-coding RNA of Pipistrellus kuhlii (Kuhl's pipistrelle), 569 nucleotides long. RefSeq lists it as uncharacterized. The record is from RefSeq and is a predicted model, not a curated record. NCBI's taxonomy places the organism in Eukaryota, Metazoa, Chordata, Mammalia, Chiroptera, Vespertilionidae. The transcript is spliced from 2 exons.